RNAcentral lists this ribosomal RNA (43 nucleotides) under Limacella sp. 'L-CA01'. Its description in RNAcentral is "Limacella sp. 'sp-L-CA01' partial 28S ribosomal RNA". Lineage: Eukaryota; Fungi; Basidiomycota; Agaricomycetes; Agaricales; Amanitaceae. The record is from RNAcentral. RNAcentral also lists the same sequence under 1 other name.
UUUGACCUCAAAUCAGGUAGGAUUACCCGCUGAACUUAAGCAU